RNAcentral lists this non-coding RNA (28 nucleotides) under Mus musculus (house mouse). The record is from RNAcentral. Lineage: Eukaryota; Metazoa; Chordata; Mammalia; Rodentia; Muridae.
UUGUGUAUAAAAAUGGACCAGGUGUGAG